UACGUAGGGUGCGAGCGUUAAUCGGAAUUACUGGGCGUAAAGCGUGCGCAGGCGGUUCGUUAAGUUCGUUGUGAAAGCCCCGGGCUCAACCUGGGAACUGCAAUGGAAACUGGCGGGCUUGAGUAUGGCAGAGGGGGGUGGAAUUCCGCGUGUAGCAGUGAAAUGCGUAGAGAUGCGGAGGAACACCGAUGGCGAAGGCAGCCCCCUGGGCCAAUACUGACGCUCAGGCACGAAAGCGUGGGGAGCAAACAGG
This 253-nucleotide ribosomal RNA is filed under the name uncultured bacterium. RNAcentral's name for it is "partial 16S ribosomal RNA". It matches the Rfam family "Bacterial small subunit ribosomal RNA", at positions 524 to 776 of the family's 1533-position model. The record is from RNAcentral.